CCGGAUACCCUCCAACUCCCCCGCCGCUCUCCUGAUGCUCUCUCUUCAUCGUCCCCCUGUUCUGGCUUCCAAUCGAAAUCUAUGGUUUAUGGAUCUCGAGGGCAAGGGGGGAUCUGGGAUUAAUGGAGGAGAGGGGGAGAUCGACGAUGGAGAUCGAUGACCGGUUGGAGAGCAGAGAGGAUCGGGAGUGAGGACGGUAAUGAUCGACAGACGGGGC
RNAcentral lists this long non-coding RNA (217 nucleotides) under Elaeis guineensis (African oil palm). RNAcentral describes it as "long non-coding RNA (EGUI_LNC009329)". Lineage: Eukaryota; Viridiplantae; Streptophyta; Magnoliopsida; Arecales; Arecaceae. The record is from RNAcentral.